RNAcentral lists this ribosomal RNA (468 nucleotides) under uncultured bacterium. Its description in RNAcentral is "partial 16S ribosomal RNA". It matches the Rfam family "Bacterial small subunit ribosomal RNA", at positions 28 to 507 of the family's 1533-position model. The record is from RNAcentral.
GACGAACGCUGGCGGCGUGCUUAACACAUGCAAGUCGAACGGAAAGGCGCUGCUUUUGUGGGGUGGUCGUGUGGCGAACGGGUGAGUAACACGUGAGGAACAUGCCCUUGACAGUGGGAUAAAUUUAGGAAACUGGGGAGAAUAUCGGAGAGGAGAUCCUGCUGCAUGGGGGGGGAUGGAAAGUUUCGGCGGUUGGGGCUGGACUCGCGGGUUACCAGCUGGUUGGGGGGGUAGGGGCGGACCAAGGCUUUGACGGGUAGCCCGCCUGAGAGGGUGACCGGCCACAUUGGUACUGAGAUACGGCCCAGACGCCAACCGGAGGCAGCAGGGGGGAAUAUUGCAGAAUGGGCGCGAGCCUGAUGCAACAACGCCGCGUGCGGGAUGCCGUCCUUCGGGUUGUAAACCAAUUUCGCCUGUGACGUGGCGUUAGUGACGGUAAUGAGUAAAGAAGCACCGGCUAACUACGUG